AUGGAGUGCCUCAAUUGUUUCCACACUAGGGAUUUGUGCGUUGGGAAUGUUGAAUUGGGGAACGGUUGCUUCUACUUGACGCUUUUGGAGGGCUUCAAAUGGAUGGUGUGCAUCCCCUGUUUUGCAAGGCCUGACCUCCUAAGGAAGCUUAAUGUUGCCAUGGAUAAGGGAACAAGCACCACUGCCUACCUGCGCACCAAAGAGGGCUUCUCUUUCAAGACUACGAUCCUUAACGAAAAAGAGCGAACAUAUUUUGGUUCUUCUAAUUGGGGGGCAUUUGCCAAAGCUUACAAAUUUGAGGAAGGGAUGGCUAUCCACUUUGAUUUUAGCAAAUAUUCUGAUCCUGAUCCUGACAUCUUGGUAGAUUUGGAAAACAUUCCAAUCCUUCCUCCGUAUUACUUCCUAGCGCCAAAAACAACCCAGGAGAUAGUUGACAACAUUUACUAUACUGCUGACAGCGCGCUUACUUGGAAAGAGAAGAAUUACCUCGUUUCCUUUGUUAAUGGUAUCGAGUGGCCUACGAACACUCACAAUGCUGGGAAACAUUAUGCAUCAUACGUGCCACUAGUGCAUGCCUUGAACAAGACCAACAUUCAAAACAAAUGUCUGAAGCUCCCAAGAUGUGUUGUUCCUGAUAUUAUGGAUGGCAAUGGUGAGAUGACACUUAUCUAUGAUGACAAGACCAAUUUCAAAGACACCUACUCGACUGCAGCCCUACCAGAUGGACGCCUCCUAGUUAAUGGGUGGAGGAGAAUACUGAAGGAGUGCAACCUGGAAAUUGGAGCUAGGUUGAUCUCUGUGCUCCACCAUGGAAGUGCGGGGAUUUUCCUAUUCUUGACAUCCAUUCCAAAAAGAGAGGACUAG
RNAcentral lists this ribosomal RNA (864 nucleotides) under Triticum aestivum (bread wheat). Its description in RNAcentral is "partial small subunit ribosomal RNA". Lineage: Eukaryota; Viridiplantae; Streptophyta; Magnoliopsida; Poales; Poaceae. The record is from RNAcentral.